Molecule: ribosomal RNA, 492 nt
Filed under: uncultured bacterium
Lineage: Bacteria
Description: partial 16S ribosomal RNA
Rfam family: Bacterial small subunit ribosomal RNA
Source: RNAcentral
AGUGAACGCUGGCGGUAGGCCUAACACAUGCAAGUCGAACGGCAGCACAGUAAGAGCUUGCUCUUACGGGUGGCGAGUGGCGGACGGGUGAGGAAUACAUCGGAAUCUACUUUUUCGUGGGGGAUAACGUAGGGAAACUUACGCUAAUACCGCAUACGACCUACGGGUGAAAGCAGGGGAUCUUCGGACCUUGCGCGAUUGAAUGAGCCGAUGUCGGAUUAGCUAGUUGGCGGGGUAAAGGCCCACCAAGGCGACGAUCCGUAGCUGGUCUGAGAGGAUGAUCAGCCACACUGGAACUGAGACACGGUCCAGACUCCUAAGGGAAGCAGCAGUGGGGAAUAUUUGACAAUGGGGGGAAGCCUGAUCCAGCCAUACCGCGUGGGUGAAGAAGGCCUUCGGGGUGGAAAGCCCUUUUGUUGGGAAAGAAAAGCAGCAGGUUAAUACCCCGCUGUUCUGACGGUACCCAAAGAAUAAGCACCGGCUAACUUCGUG